RNAcentral lists this ribosomal RNA (512 nucleotides) under uncultured bacterium. RNAcentral describes it as "bacterial SSU rRNA". It matches the Rfam family "Bacterial small subunit ribosomal RNA", at positions 28 to 534 of the family's 1533-position model. The record is from RNAcentral.
GAUGAACGCUAGCGGCAGGCUUAACACAUGCAAGUCGAGGGGUAGGUUACUUCGGUAAUUGAGACCGGCGCACGGGUGCGUAACGCGUAUACAAUCUACCUUUUACAGAGGGAUAGCCCAGAGAAAUUUGGAUUAAUACCUCAUAGUAUUUUUGAAUCGCAUGAUUUGAUUAUUAAAGUUCCAACGGUAAAAGAUGAGUAUGCGUCCCAUUAGCUAGAUGGUAAGGUAACGGCUUACCAUGGCUACGAUGGGUAGGGGUCCUGAGAGGGAGAUCCCCCACACUGGUACUGAGACACGGACCAGACUCCUACGGGAGGCAGCAGUGAGGAAUAUUGGACAAUGGGCGAAAGCCUGAUCCAGCCAUGCCGCGUGUGUGAAGAAGGUCUUCGGAUUGUAAAGCACUUUAAGUGGGAGGAAGGGUAGUAAACCUAAUACGUUGCUACUUUGACGUUACCGACAGAAUAAGCACCGGCUAACUUCGUGCCAGCAGCCGCGGUAAUGGUGAACUACUG